This 274-nucleotide ribosomal RNA is filed under the name uncultured bacterium. RNAcentral's name for it is "partial 16S ribosomal RNA". It matches the Rfam family "Bacterial small subunit ribosomal RNA", at positions 523 to 796 of the family's 1533-position model. The record is from RNAcentral.
AUACAGAGGGUGCGAGCGUUAAUCGGAAUUACUGGGCGUAAAGCGCGCGUAGGCGGCUUGGUCAGCCGGAUGUGAAAGCCCCGGGCUCAACCUGGGAAUGGCAUUCGAUACUGCCAGGCUAGAGUAUGGGAGAGGGAAGUGGAAUUUCCGGUGUAGCGGUGAAAUGCGUAGAUAUCGGAAGGAACACCAGUGGCGAAGGCGACUUCCUGGCCCAAUACUGACGCUGAGGUGCGAAAGCGUGGGGAGCGAACAGGAUUAGAUACCCCAGUAGUCC